GUGGGGAAUCUUAGACAAUGGGGGAAACCCUGAUCUAGCCAUGCCGCGUGAGCGAUGACGGCCUUAGGGUUGUAAAGCUCUUUCAGCUGGGAAGAUAAUGACGGUACCAGCAGAAGAAGCCCCGGCUAACUCCGUGCCAGCAGCCGCGGUAAUACGGAGGGGGCUAGCGUUGUUCGGAAUUACUGGGCGUAAAGCGCGCGUAGGCGGACCAGAAAGUUGGAGGUGAAAUCCCAGGGCUCAACCUUGGAACUGCCUUCAAAACUCCUGGUCUGGAGUUCGAGAGAGGUGAGUGGAAUUCCGAGUGUAGAGGUGAAAUUCGUAGAUAUUCGGAGGAACACCAGUGGCGAAGGCGGCUCACUGGCUCGAUACUGACGCUGAGGUGCGAAAGCGUGGGGAGCAAACAGGAUUAGAUACCCGAGUAGUCC
RNAcentral lists this ribosomal RNA (425 nucleotides) under uncultured bacterium. RNAcentral describes it as "partial 16S ribosomal RNA". It matches the Rfam family "Bacterial small subunit ribosomal RNA", at positions 354 to 796 of the family's 1533-position model. The record is from RNAcentral.